GAUGAACGCUGGCUACAGGCUUAACACAUGCAAGUCGAGGGGAAACGACGGGGAAGCUUGCUUCCCCGGGCGUCGACCGGCGCACGGGUGAGUAACGCGUAUCCAACCUGCCUCUGACUGAGGGAUAACCCGUCGAAAGUCGGCCUAAUACCUCAUGGCAUCGUCUGCGGGCAUCCAACGACGAUUAAAGAUUUCAUCGGUCAGGGAUGGGGAUGCGUCUGAUUAGCUAGUUGGCGGGGUAACGGCCCACCAAGGCGACGAUCAGUAGGGGUUCUGAGAGGAAGGUCCCCCAAAUUGGAACUGAGACACGGUCCAAACUCCUACGGGAGGCAGCAGUGAGGAAUAUUGGUCAAUGGGCGAGAGCCUGAACCAGCCAAGUAGCGUGCAGGAUGACGGCCCUAUGGGUUGUAAACUGCUUUUAUGCGGGGAUAAAGUGAGGGACGUGUCCUUCAUUGCAGGUACCGAAUGAAUAAGGACCGGCUAAUUCCGUG
This 491-nucleotide ribosomal RNA is filed under the name uncultured bacterium. RNAcentral describes it as "partial 16S ribosomal RNA". It matches the Rfam family "Bacterial small subunit ribosomal RNA", at positions 28 to 507 of the family's 1533-position model. The record is from RNAcentral.